This 12101-nucleotide long non-coding RNA is filed under the name Cucumis sativus (cucumber). RNAcentral's name for it is "long non-coding RNA (CSAT_LNC001350)". The record is from RNAcentral. Lineage: Eukaryota; Viridiplantae; Streptophyta; Magnoliopsida; Cucurbitales; Cucurbitaceae.
CUGUUUUGAAGAUACAAACUUUCUUCCAAGACUCCAACUUGAAGAAAAUCACGUGCUCCGCUUCUCCAAAUCAAGCGUAGACGUUCAACAAACUUCAAGAACAUCACGUGCUCCGCUUCCUCAAAUCAAGCGUAAGCAUUCAACCAACUUGAAGAACAUCACGUGCUCCGCUUCUCCAAAUCAAGCGUAGACGUUCAACAAACUUCAAGAACAUCACGUGCUCCGCUUCUCCAAAUCAAGCGUAGACGUUCAACAAACUUCAAGAACAUCACGUGCUCCGCUUCCUCCAAAUCAAGCGUAGACAUACAGUUGAGAGAGAAUCAGAGGAUCAAAUUCUAGAGAUUGAACCGCAUCGCAUCAAAUCAACAAAAAUACAACAUCAACCAAGUUCAAGUCCACGAAUUAAAUUUCUCCGGAAAUCUCGUGCGAACAAAUUGGCACGCCCAGUGGGACCAUCUCUACCUCUCAUCUCUCUCUCAUCAUCUAGAUCUACAAGCAAAUCAAUGGCAUCAAAGAAAGCUGCAUCCAAAUCUUCAGCUGCAAGCGACACCUACACGGGACCUAUCACCCGUAGUCGUUCCAAGGGGAUCAUCCAAGGGCAAGACCAAGGUUCCGCCAUCGCGCAGAGCAUCCUGAAGCAAUUGAUGGAAUCUCCUAAAGCUGGAAUUGUCAUCAAGGAAAAUCCUCUAUAUAAUGAUUAUGAUUCUGCCUCUAGCAGGUCACUGAAAGAAGCACACCCAGAUGUGAUGUCCGUCAUGAUGGCUGAUGUAGCAGUCGAGACUGCCAUGGCGGAGAUGGAGAGAAAAAUUAAUCUCCUGAUGAAGGUUGUUGAUGAACGAGACCACGAAAUUGCAGCUUUAAAGGAGCAGAUGCAGACUCGUGAAACUGCUGAAUCGAGUCAAACUCCUGUCGUUAAAGUUGAUGACAAAGGGAAGAACGUGGUACAAGAAAAUCAGCCACAACAACAAUCAACUUCUGUGGCUUCUCUCUCGGUUCAACAAUUACAAGAUAUGAUCACAAGCUCCAUCAGAGCACAAUAUGGAGGCCCAUCUCAGACUUCUUUCAUGUACUCUAAACCAUACACCAAAAGAAUCGACAACUUGAGAAUGCCGCUUGGAUAUCAGCCUCCAAAAUUCCAGCAGUUUGACGGAAAGGGCAAUCCAAAACAGCACGUUGCUCACUUCGUCGAAACAUGUGAGAAUGCAGGAUCAAGAGAGAUCAACUAGUCAGACAAUUUGUUCGAAGCUUGAAAGGAAAUGCUUUUGAAUGUAUACUGAUCUGGACCAGAAAAGCAUUGAGAGUUGGGAACAACUAGAAAAGGAGUUUCUCAAUCGCUUCUACAGCACCAGGCGUACUGUAAGCAUGAUGGAGCUUACAAAUACGAAACAAAGAAAGGGAGAACCAGUCAUCGACUACAUCAAUAGAUGGAGAGCUCUAAGUCUUGACUGUAAAGAUCGGCUCACCGAACUGUCGGCUGUAGAAAUGUGCACCCAAGGCAUGCACUGGGGACUCCUCUACAUUUUGCAGGGAAUAAAGCCCGCACAUUUGAAGAACUGGCAACUCGAGCUCAUGAUAUGGAGUUGAGCAUCGCCAGUAGAGGAACUAAAGAUUUUCUUGUUCCUGAAGUAAAGAAAGAUAAGAAAGAGAUGAAAGGUGCUGAAAAGAUAGUGAAAAGCACCGCGAAAGAAUCUAUGGUCGUAAACACAACCCCGCUGAAAUUCUCCAAAGGAAAGGAAGCGAGGGUUGAAAAGAAGGAUGAUGGAAGCGAAAGGCGACGUCUGACUUUAAAAGAAAGGCAGGAAAAAGUUUACCCAUUUCCUGAUUCAGAUAUCGCUGACAUGCUAGAGCAACUACUAGAGAAGCAGCUGAUCCAGCUGCCAGAAUGUAAACGACCUGAGCAAGCAGGAAAGGUAGAUGAUCCCAAUUACUGCAAGUAUCAUCGGGUCAUCAGUCAUCCAGUAGAGAAAUGCUUCGUGCUGAAGGAGCUAAUUCUAAGGUUGGCUCGUGAGAAAAGGAUUGAGCUAGAUUUGGAGGAAGUAGCUCAAACAAACCACGCUGAAGUGACGAUAAUGUCUGAGGCUUCUUCGUCGAGAUUGAUUUUUGAGCAAAGGAAAAGCUUGGUCCAGUUCGGGACCUUUGAGCCUAUAGUUGUCCAAUUCUUUCAGGAAAUCUCAUACGAGGAUCCUCAAGGAGAGAAAAGACCAAUAAGAAGACGAUGAAGGGUGGAUAGUGGUGACCCAAAAAAAGACAGUCGAUCCCGACCCAAAGAGAGUCUCGCUCUUACCAAAACUAUAGAAGAGGAAAUAAGACUCAAAAGAAUAAGAAAAAGAAGAAGACUCAUAAGCUUAAGCUCGUACAUAAUGAAGACAUGAAUUUCUCUCGACCUCAACGCUUAGUGACCUUGGCAGACUUUGUGAUCAUCAGGAUGAAGACCCAGAAGUCGUUGCGUGUCAUGCUAUCAACACAACGGAGGAAGAAAUAAUCCCUCCAAGAUCACUAGAAGGAGAGGGAGUAUCAAAAGACCUUUCAAGGUUUAAUGUAGAGGAUCUAUUAUCACUUCCUCAAGAGACCAAAACCAUCCUUAUUGAUGCAUUGCUAAAUUCAAGAGCAUCAAGUUCGAGUACUCCGACUAUGACAUAUGAGAGUGGUUCUUAUUGUAUGUCUAUAGACUUCUCAGAUGAGGAUUUGUUGUUGGGAUCUAAACUUCAUAAUAGACCUUUGUAUGUUUCUGGAUACGUUCGAGAACAGAGAGUCGAUCGAAUCCUCAUUGAUAAUGGCUCAGCUGUCAACAUAAUGCCAAAGUCGACUAUGUGGCAAUUAGGCAUCUUGAUGGACGAGCUCUCAAAUAGCAAGCUAGUAAUUCAAGGUUUUAACCAAGGUAGCCAAAGAGCAAUAGGCAUGAUACGGUUAGAACUCAAAGGCCAGUGCAUUGUUUCAUGUCAUAGACUCAAGGACUACUUACAAGUUGUUACUAGGGCGUCCUUGGAUUCAUGGAAACGGAGUAGUAACUUCAACACUGCAUCAGUGCUUCAAAUUUUAUCAGGACGGUGUAAAGAAGGUUGAAGCCGACUCUAAUCCAUUCUCAGAAGCUGAGUCUCACUUCGCAGAUGCAAAGUUUUAUUCAAAGAAUAAUAAUAUUUUAGAAGUUUUGCCUGCAGAAACCCCUCUUACAAAAGGAGAAGAUAAUUCACAAUGAAAUCACUCGCAACCACAGAACCACAUGAAAGUGCGAGAACCUUUAACUCUGGAAAGGGUGAAGCAUACACUAGCAGCACAAAGGGUAUGAUCUUGAAGGAGAAAAUGCUGCAAACACACCAGUUUUGCGUUAUGUCCCUCUGUCAAGGCGCAAGAAAGGCGAAUCACCAUUCAUGGAGUCUCCAAAAGGUUUGAAAGUUGGUGACAUCGAAAUCAUAAAAGAAAGCUUCACUACACCACUAACUAAGAUAGCGAAGCAAGAGGUAAAGGUAGAUCUGGUGGAAGCAAACUUGCCCCAAAGGCGAACGAAAGACGGAUUCGACCCCAAGGCUUACAAAUUGAUGGCGAAAGCAGGUUAUGACUUCACAGCUCACACCGAGUUUAAAAGCUUGGAAAUUCAUGACCGACCUGAGCUCUCCUCAACUCAAAAGAAGCUUCUACGGGAAGGACAUUCUAUACCCGUGUCGAGAAAAGGACUCGGAUACAAGUCGCCAGAACCGAUCCGUAUAACUAAAAAGGGGAAGGAAAAAGUGGUUGACAUCAAUCAUAUAACUAUAGAGGAGGAUGACAAUACUGACGUAAAAGAAGGUGAUAAUCAGAGAAUCUCAGUAUUUGAUCGAAUUAGACCAUCUGUUGCACGUCCCGUAGUAUUUGAAAGGCUAAGCAUGACAGAGGCAGAAAGAGAAAGGCUCCAGUCAGUACCAAACCUUGAGAGACAUUCGGUCUUUCGAAGGCUAACUACGACUCCCAUAAAGGAAGAAAGCACAUGCCAUGCCUUGACAACUACAAGACCAUCAGCCUUUGAAAGGCUAGGUGUGUCUAAAAAGAAAAAUGUACAAGCACCCCGUGCUCCGAUUUUUAAUCAUCUCGGGAUAAAGGAUCACACGACAACAUUGAUUCCAACAUAGAUACAAAGAAGAAGGAACCAAUGUCUCGUGUGAAAGUUUGGCGUCGAAUUAAGCAUACAGAUGUCGAUAAUUAUCGUAGUAAGAAGUUUCCUUGCGAGACAAAGGAAAAUGGAGAAAUUCAUAGCAACGUUCCUUCUCGCAUGAAAAGAAAAACUUUUGUUACUCUCAAUACAAGUCAAGGUUCGUUAAAGGUAAAAAGACAUGAUGUUAUACUAACGAAUCCUGAAAAAGAAGGGUCGGAACAAGGGGAAGUGAAACUUCAUGUCAUCACAUCACCAUUAUUGAGGAAUCAGAGACUGGAACUCAUGAAGAAGACGCAGAAAAUGCCCCACAAAGUUUAGAGGAUGGUGGCCAAUCUACUGUAGACGAGCUAAAAGAGGUGAACCUUGGUACAAUAGAGGAACCACGUCCGACUUUCAUUAGUGCGUCCCUCUCUAACGAAGAGGUGGAUAAAUAUAUGAGUUUGCUCACCGAAUACAGGGACAUCUUUGCGUGGUCGUACAAGGAGAUGCCAGGACUUGACCCAAAAGUAGCAGUCCAUCAUCUUGCAAUUAAACCGGAUAUCGACCGAUUAAACAAGCACAACGACGUUUUCGACCGGAGCUUAUCCCUCAAAUCGAGGUGGAAGUCAACAAGUUGAUCGAAGCAGGAUUCAUUCGCGAGGUCAAAUAUCCAACGUGGAUAGCAAACAUUGUCCCUGUUAGAAAAAAAAAUGGACAACUUCGCGUUUGUGUAGACUUUCGCGAUCUGAAUAAUGCAUGCCCUAAAGAUGAUUUUCCCUUGCCCAUCACCGAAAUCAUGGUUGAUGCAACUACUGGACACGAGGCGUUGUCGUUUAUGGAUGGGUCGUCUGGAUAUAAUCAAAUACGGAUGGCCCUCUCAGAUGAAGAAAUGACAGCUUUCAGAACUCCAAAGGGAAUAUACUGUUACAAGGUGAUGCCCUUUGGAUUGAAAAAUGCCGGCGCUACUUAUCAACGUGCCAUGCAGAAAGUGUUUGAUGAUAUGUUGCACAGGUAUGUUGAAUGUUAUGUUGAUGAUCUUGUAGUCAAAACAAAGAGACGACAAGACCAUUUGAAGGAUCUAAAAGUCGUGUUUGAUCGCUUGCGAAAAUAUCAGCUAAGGAUGAACCCUCUCAAGUGUGCGUUUGGUGUAACUUCAGGAAAAUUUCUUGGCUUCAUUGUAAGGCAUCGAGGGAUCGAAAUAGACCAGUCCAAGAUUGAUGCCAUUCAGAAGAUGUCAAGACCUAAAAGUUUGCAUGACCUAAGAAGUCUCCAAGGACGACUGGCUUACAUCCGAAGGUUCAUCUCUAACUUGGCCGGUCGGUGUCAACCUUUUCAAAAGUUGAUGAGAAAAGGAGAAAAUUUUGUGUGGGAUGAAGCUUGUCAGAACGCUUUUGAUAGCAUAAAGAAAUACUUGCUUACUCCCCCAGUGCUGGGAGCUCCAGUACCUGACAAACCACUAAUAUUGUACAUUGCUGCACAAGAAAGGUCCUUAGGAGCAUUACUGGCACAAGAAGAGGUAAAGGGAAAGGAGCGUUCUCUCUACUAUCUAAGCAGAACAUUAAUUGGGGCUGAAGUUAACUAUUCUCCUAUCGAAAAGAUGUGUCUUGCACUUUUCUUUGCCAUUGAUAAGUUGAGGCAUUAUAUGCAGGCCUUCACGGUUCAUCUAGUGGCAAAAGCAGACCCUAUAAAGUAUGUUCUAUCCAGGCCAAUCAUCGCUGGACGCUUAGCCAAAUGGGCGGUUCUACUCCAACAAUAUGACAUUGUCUAUAUUCCCCAAAAGGCGAUAAAAGGACAAGCGCUAGCAGACUUUUUAGCAGACCACCCAAUUCCUUCGGAUUGGAAGUUAUGUGAUGACCUACCAGACGAUGAGGUUUUCUUCACAGAAGUUAUGGAACCUUGGACUAUGUACUUCGAUGGUGCAGCUCGAAGAAGUGGUGCGGGGGCAGGCAUUGUCCUCAUUUCUCCUGAGAAGCAUAUGUUGCCUUAUAGCUUUGCACUUUCCGAAUUGUGUUCAAACAAUGUGGCUGAAUAUCAGGCUUUGAUAAUUGGCCUUCAAAUAGCAUUAGAAAUCGGAGUGUCAUUCAUAGAGGUCUAUGGUGAUUCAAAAUUGAUAAUCAAUCAACUCUCGCUUCAAUAUGACGUGAAACAUGAAGACUUGAAGCCAUAUUUUGCUUAUGCUCGAAAAUUGAUGGAAAAGUUUGAUAAUGUGAUGUUAGAACAUGUCCCUAGAGUAGAAAAUAAGAGAGCGGAUGCAUUGGCAAAUUUAGCCACGGCCUUGACCAUGCCAGAUGAUGUAACUCUGAACAUACCACUUUGUCAACGAUGGAUUAUACCCCCAGUUAGGCCUGAAUGUCAGGAAGUGAACAUGGCAACAUCCUAUUUGAUUGAUGAAGAAGAUUGGCGUCAACCCAUCAUAGAGUAUCUUGAACAUGGAAAGCUUCCAAAGGAUUCUCGUCAUAAAAUUGAGAUACGAAGAAGGGCAGCACACUUCAUUUAUUACAAGGGAACUUUAUAUCGCCGUUCUCUUGAAGGGCUCUUCCUUCGAUGUCUCGGAAAGGAAGAUUCGGUAAAAGCUCUAAAGGAAGUACAUGCAGGUGUUUGUGGAGCACAUCAAUCGGGACCAAAGCUUCAAUUCCAGCUAAGAAGAAUGGGCUACUACUGGCCUAAGAUGAUCCAAGAUUCAAUAGACUAUGUGAAGAAGUGUGAGCCUUGUCAAUACCAUGCAAACUUCAUACACCAACCUCCAGAACCUCUUCAUCCAACUGUAGCUUCUUGGCCUUUUGAGGCUUGGGGACUCGAUCUGGUUGGCCCCAUUACACCAAAAUCAUCAGCAGGACAUUCUUAUAUCCUAGCAGCAACAGACUAUUUUUCAAAAUGGGCUGAGGCCAUUUCAUUGAGAGAAGCCAAGAAGGAGAACGGCAGACUUUAUUCGAACACACAUCAUCUAUCGAUACGGUAUUCCACAUCGAAUCGUGACGGAUAAUGGAAAGCAAUUCUCCAAUAGUAUGAUGGACAAGUUAUGUGAAAAAUUCAAAUUCAAGCAAUAUAAGUCAUCCAUGUACAACGCAGCUGCGAAUGGACUAGCAGAAGCAUUCAACAAAACAUUGUGUAAUCUUUUAAAGAAAAUUGUCUCCAAGUCAAAGAGGGAUUGGCAAGAAAAGAUCGGCGAGGCAUUAUGGGCUUAUCGAACGACUCAUCGCACCCCUACAGGGGUUACACCAUAUUCGCUUGUUUACGGUGUGGAGGCUGUCCUUCCUCUCGAAAGGGAAAUUCCGUCACUAAGAAUGGCAGUACAAGAGGGAUUGACUACCGAAGAUAAUGUGAAGUUACGUCUUCAAGAAUUAGAAGCACUUGACGAAAAGCGAUUAGAGGCUCAGCAAGCAUUGGAAUGUUAUCAAGCGAGAAUGUCCAAAGCUUUUGAUAAACACGUUAAACCUCGCUCCUUUCAAGUCGGUGAUCUAGUGCUUGCCGUAAGGAGACCGAUCAUCACAACAAGGCAUACAGGAAAUAAGUUCACACCUAAAUGGGAUGGACCUUACAUUGUUAAAGAAGUUUAUACAAAUGGCGCAUACAAGAUCGUUGAUCAAGACGGACUACGAAUUGGCCCAAUCAAUGGUAAAUUUCUUAAAAAAUUUUAUGCUUAAUUUUGUUAGGUAAAAAAAAAAAAAAAUUGAACUACGUUAUGACUUGAUCCCUAUGUUAUAAAGGGUACGUAGGCAGCUUAAGGAAAACCUUAAGCCCAGUCCAGCAAAAAAAAAAGUUGAACUACGUUAUGACUUGAUCCCUAUAUUAUAAAGGGUACGUAGGCAGCUUAAGGAAAACCUUAAGCCCAGUCCAGCAAAAAAAAGUUGAACUACGUUAUGACUUGAUCCCUACAUUAUAAAGGGUACGUAGGCAACUUAAAGAAAACUUUAAGUUCAGUCCACCAUUAUAAAAAAAAAAAAAAAAAAAAAAAAAAACCUUGAAAUACGUCGUGAGUUAAUUCUUUUCUUCAAAGGGUGUUCAUCUCUACUAAGGAAUCAUAACAAAUUGGGGGCAAAUCCCUAAAUUCAAGAUGUUCAUCUUUAGUAACAAUGAGAUGAAAUAAAUUGAAGAUGUACAAACUCCGUGCAAAGACUAUGUACAAGUUGAGUGCAUGUAAAAAGAAAAAAAAAAGAAUCUCAAAAUCAAGCUCAAAGGCAUCAUUAAUGAUCCCUCAAAUUCAAGCAUAAAAGUUUCAUUGAUGAUUCCUUAUAUUCAAGUUUGAAGGCUUCAUCGAUGCUGCAGCUCCAGCUCUUUGAGAGGAUAACGAUGGUACAACUUUGAUAGGACGACGAUCGGGCAGCUCUGCCUUCGCCUCUCCAAGAUGAAAACGACAGUGUAACAUCGUUUCUGCCUCUUGAAGAAGAUGCAUGCAAUGCUAAAGCUUUAACCUCUGCUUCAUCUUCAGCUUAUUGCAACCGAAGAGGAUUCAUCUUCAUCUUCUUCUAAGUUUUGCAAUCGAAGAUGAUUCAUCUUCAUCUGCUCUAAGGUGUCGCAAGUGAGAGGAUUCAUCUUUGUCUUCCUCCAUGUGUUACAACCGAGAUGAUUCAUCUUCAUCUUCACCUAGGAGUCGCAAUCAAGAAGAUUCAUUUUCAUCUUCUCUCAGGUGUAACAACCGAAGAUGAUUCAUCUUCAUCUGCUCUAAGGUGUCGCAAGUGAGAGGAUUCAUCUUUGUCUUCUCCUAUGUGUUUCAACCGAGAGGAUUCAUCUUCAUCUCCUCCUAAGAAUUGCAACUGAGAAGAUUCACCUUCAUCUUCUUUCAGGUGUCGCAACCAAAGAAGAUUCAUCUUUAUCUUCUUCCAGGUGCUGCAACCAAAGAGGAUUCAUCUUCAUCUUCUUUCAUAUGUCGUAGUCGGAAGGAUUCACCUUCAUCUUCUUCUAGGUGCUACAAUCAAAGAGGAUUCAUCUUCAUCUUCUCUUAUAUGUCAUAGCUGAGAAGAUUCAUCUUCAUAUUCUUCCAAAUGCUGCAACUGAAGAGAAUUCAUCUUCAUCUCCUCCCAUAUGUCAUAGCCGAGAGGAUUCAUCUUCAUCUUCUUUUAGGAGUUGCAACCAAAGAGGAUUCAUCUUCAUCUUCUCCCAUAUGUCAUAGCCGAAAGGAUUUAUCUUCAUCUUCUCUCAGGUGCUGCAAUUGAAUAGGAUUCAUCUUCAUCUCCUCCCAUAUGUCAUAGUCGAGAGGAUUCAUCUCCUUCCAUAUGUCAUAGCCGAGAGGAUUCAUCUUCAUCUUCUCCUAUAUGUCGUAGCUGAGAGUAUUCAUCUUUAUCAUCUAACAGGUGUCGCAACCCGGCCGAUGGAAUUCAUUUUCAUCAGCUCUAAGUUGUCGCAAGCUAGAUGAUUCAUCUUCAUCUUCUCCCUGGUACCACAACCAAGAAAGAAAAAAAAAAAAAAGAGAAGCAAGAAGAAGAAAGAAGAAAAUGAUGAAGAAGAAAGAAGGAAGAAGAAAGAAAAAAAAAAAGCAAAAAGAAAGAAGAAAAAGAAGAAAAAAACAAAAACAAAAAAGAAAGAAGCAAAGGAAGAAAAAACAAAAAGAUAGAAGAAUAAGAAGAAGAAGAAAAAAAAAAAAACGAAGAAGCUCAAUUGGUGAUAACGAAGAUUGAAGCCCGACGAUGACAGAGUCGAUCUCUCCUACUAGGGCGAUAGAUCUGACGGCAAAAGCCCGAUCGUCCCUAGAAGAAGCUCAACAAAGUCACUUCUGCAAACGAAGAUUGAAGCCCGACGAUGACAGAGUCGAUCUCUCCUACUAGGGCGAUAGAUCUGACGGCAAAAGCCCGAUCGUCCCUAGAAGAAGCUCAACAAAGUCAUUUCUGCAAACGAAGAUCGAAGCCCGACGAUGACAGAGUCGAUCUCUCCUACUAGGGCGAUAGAUCUGACGGCAAAAGCCCGAUCGUCCCUAGAAGAAGCUCAACAAAGUCAUUUCUGCAAACAAAGAUUGAAGCCCGACGAUGACAGAGUCGAUCUCUCCAACUAGGGCGAUAGAUCUGACGGCAAAAGCCCGAUCGUCCCUAGAAGAAGCUCAACAAAGUCAUUUCUGCAAACGAAGAUCGAAGCCCGACGAUGACAGAGUCGAUCUCUCCUACUAGGGCGAUAGAUCUGACGGCAGAAGCCCGAUCGUCCCUAGAAGAAGCUCGACAAAGCUCGACAAAGUCAUUCCUGCAAAAAAAAAAAAAAAAAAAACACACACACACAAAAAAAAAGAAGAGAAAAAAAAAAGAGAAAGGGAGAAGAAAAGUUUUCUAUACCUUUCUGCCGAUUCGAUGAGGAAUAAGCGUUGGAUGAGGUAUAAGUGAGUAGGGUAUGAGUCUAUUUAUAAGCCCAACAAAUCCAAUUCCUAAAAGGAUUAGGAAUGAUAUUUAAUUAUUUUUUUUAAAAAAAAACAAAUCCAAUUCCUAAAAGGAAUAGGAAUGAUUUUAAAAAAAAUAUAUAUAUAUAAAGAAAAGAUAAUCCAAUUAUCUUAUUUUAUUUUAAAUUAUUUCUUUUUUUUUUGGAUAAAUCUCAAGUUUAACUUUUAUUGAGAUAUUUAAAAUAUUUAAAAAUUUCAACAUUUUUAAAAAUAUAUACAUAUAUAUAUAUAUAAAUAUUCUCAAUUUCAAAAUUCAAGUUAAAUUAACUUGCAUAUAUGACCUCCUUUUUAUCAUGAAUUUAAAUCGGAGCCAUAAAUCCAACUUUACCUAAGAUUGAGGAUCUGAUUUUUUUUAUCUCAAAUUAAAAUUGGUCAUUCCAAAUUCUUAUGCAUCCCCAAGAUAAAUUAAGGUACGGUAGAAACCUUAUCCUUAUUUCAAAAUUAAAAUUUUGGUUAUAUUCCAAAUUUUACUUAAAAAAAAAAAAAUCAUCAUAUUAAUUUUUUUUUUUCCCCUCAAAUAAAAUUAAGUGGGAAAUAAAACUUUGAAUUUUUUUUAAGGUUUGGCCAUAUUCCAACCCUUAUUUUAAAUUUAAAUCAAACUCACGUACUAAAUUCAUAGUUUGAUUAAUUUGAUAUGCUGAAUUGAGUAAAAAAAAAAAAAAAGGCUCGUACUUUGACUUCAAAUUUAUCUUUUCCGAGAUUCAUUCACCCAUAUACGUGCAUAAAUCUCGAAAAGGGGGCAUUUGUUGAAUAAGAAAUUUUGAGACCAAUCACAAGUUGCCACAUCAUUUAUUAAGUUAAUGAUGAAAAGUACAAAUAAUUAAAUUUGGGACUAAUUAAAAUUGACACAUGCCCCAAAUUAAAGAGUUAAAAUAAAUAAAUUGGUCAUUCUAAUAAUGCCACAUGUUUUCAUAUUAAUCGUUGGAUUAAGUUAAUCAUUUUAGUUCAAUUAAGCCAAAAAAAUAAGCUUAAUUGAGCCCAAAGACUAAAUAUAACCUAAGUCCAUAUGGUUGAGCCCAUGGGUCUGGUCCAUGGACCAACCAAGUUCAAACCCAUAAAGCCCACCAGUGAACUCUAUAAAUAGAGGAAUUCUCCUCAUUUGCAGGGGUUGGAAAAUUUUGACUCUAGAAGAUCCAGAGAGAAUUCUUCCAAAAGCUAGAAGACUCCCUAACUUCUGAAGUUGACCAUCCUCGAAGAUUGAAGCUGUUUUGAAGAUACAAACUUUCUUCCAAGACUCCAACUUGAAGAAAAUCACGUGCUCCGCUUCUCCAAAUCAAGCGUAGACGUUCAACAAACUUCAAGAACAUCACGUGCUCCGCUUCCUCAAAUCAAGCGUAAAGCAUUCAACCAACUUGAAGAAAAUCACGUGCUCCGCCUCUCCAAAUCAAGCGUAGACGUUCAACAAACUUCAAGAACAUCACGUGCUCCGCUUCUCCAAAUCAAGCGUAGACGUUCAACAAACUUCAAGAACAUCACGUGCUCCGCUUCCUCCAAAUCAAGCGUAGACAUACAGUUGAGAGAGAAUCAGAGGAUCAAAUUCUAGAGAUUGAACCGCAUCGCAUCAAAUCAACAAAAAUACAACAUCAACUCCAAGUUUAAGUCCACGAAUUAAAUUUCUCCGGAAAUCUCGUGCGAACA